This is a long non-coding RNA of Bubalus bubalis (water buffalo), 2300 nucleotides long. RefSeq lists it as uncharacterized. The record is from RefSeq and is a predicted model, not a curated record. The transcript is spliced from 3 exons. NCBI's taxonomy places the organism in Eukaryota, Metazoa, Chordata, Mammalia, Artiodactyla, Bovidae.
UGUAAUUAUGUGAAUGGUAAGUCUUAACUUUUAAGUGUUCUGUGAGAUAGGCUGGAGGGCUUUUGAAAAAAAAAAAGGAAUUUCCGGUUUAACAAUUAGGAAUUUCUGAGUACCAAUGAAAGGAGACUUUUCCCUCGAGAGAACAUUCAUUGAUAGGGUGUGACAGCAGCUGGGAGAUGCCAGUGGUGGGGCAGGGAGAGCUGGAGAAUGCGGAAUCCUUUCAGUGGUGGCAUCAGGAAAGGAGGCAGGAAUUGGGGGUGGGGGUACCUAAGCUUUCCUGUCUCCGUGAGCUGUCUCAGGGGACUCAGUGGUCCAUGCUCUCUUCCUCCUUCCUAUUCAGCAUGUUCUUAGGGAGAAGGUGGGGGGAGGGGGAGGGAGAAGAGGUCUUAAAGACUUUGGCCAACUGGAGAAGGACAGUCUGGGGUACAUGUAAGUUUGUCUUGAUUAUAUUCCCAUAUUUUGGAAGAGGAACAUCAAUUUCAGUUCAGGCCUGUUUUAGAAAAUCAAAGCUUUUACAAACUUCCUAAUUGUCUUUUUUUUUUUUGGUGCAAACAUUUAUCCUAGACAACUUGUUGAAAAACUUACAACACGGUUUCCAUUCUCUGAUGUUUUUUGAGAAAAUAUUCAGCUACGUUUACUGCUAUCAAAACAGAAAAGCCAACGUCAGAUUUGGAAACCUAUCUUUAAUCGUUAAUGGAAAACGCAGUUUACUUGGCUAAAUCUUGCCAAUCCAGGCCGAUGGCUCCUCAACCUCUUUUGCUAGAAAGCUUCAAGACAUAUCUGUGAUGCUGAAUAUCUUCUGAGAAAAGUUACUAAAGUUAAAGUAAAUGUCUUGAUGUGGAAAUAAAGGGAAGUCCUGGAAGGGUAAGUAAAUUUACAUGGGGCUCCACUAAAGUUUUUUUCUCCAGUAUCACAUCCUCUCUUUUCUACCUUAUAUGUUUGUUCCUGAUUGAGUUAUGGAAAGUGACAAAAGUCAGGCUUAAAAUUUAAGAUUUGCAGGUGAGAUUUAAAUGAUUAACAAAAAAUCAUACAAGAUUAUAAUUUCUUCAGUUCUCCUCUGAGAACUGAAGAGAACAGAUUUGACCAAACAAUGGAAAAAGAAUCCACCUUGAAGACUGUAGAGCAAAUCCUGAAUGCCUUUAUACUACUGGGCGGGGUGGGGGUGGGGUUGUUGGCAAUAAGAAAAAUUUCUGAGAAACUUGAGCAAAGCUAGAGUUAUGAAAAUGUCCUCUGGGACUAGGAAGUACAAGUCUUGGCAAUUCUAGGGUUAUAUUUUCAAACUUUGAGAAUAUUUGAAAAACCCAUAAAUGCAAUGAAAUUUUUAAAAAAGUAACAUGAGAAUUUGGAAAAGUAGAAAUUACUUGCCAGAAACACAUUAGGCCAAAUCAUUUGAGUGAUCAUACUCUAACAGAAUAGAUCAAUUCUCUGACCAUUAGGUCUUUAGCCAGGGAAUUUUUCUUCUUGAAAUUUAAUGCCUGGAGAGUAUACUUCAUUGAAGAUGCUUAAUAUGCACAGGGAACUGGUCAACCUAGAAUUAAACGCUGAGCCAAACAACUGUAUUUCUUCUUGGGAUAGUUUGAAAAAAAAAAACACUCUGGGAAGAUUGAUGAGCCCUAGAUGCUACUAGGGGAAAAUUUGUCCCAUGUGCUGAUGUAAGAUAUUAUUGUUUGUCACACUCUAGUUGGAUCUAAUAAAGAGGUAAGCUGAAGUCACAAGGGAAAAUUCCCUUUGUGAAGGUUGAUACUAGAGCCUCAAAGUUCUAGUCAAUGGAACCCAAGAUCAAAGCUUUACAGUUAUAAAAAGGAACCCAAGAUCUGAACAGACAGAAUGUAGAAAAUCAAGUGGCCAUUUCAGUUACCUGUAAAUCCAUUACUAUGAUGCUUCAGACAAAGUCACAGCUCCUCCUAGAACUUUCUGGCCAGUUCAUUUGUAUGAUCAGAUCAUUCAUCCAAGUGGCAUACUUUUUGGUAAUCCAUUCGAACCCAAUUCAAAUAGUAAUUUUACUCUUCUUGGAAACAUUGGGUUUAGGAAUAAUUCAGAAGAGCACAAUUCCAGUCCAAUGUUAACUGAACUGGGUUCUGUGAAACUCUAGUUUUUCAAGAUGUUUAACAGUUAUAUCAUGAAAAGAAGUGCCUCAUGCUCAGAUAAGUUGGAGAAACUUCAAGGUGAAGUAAAAAGAAAGGGCAGUGCUGUGGAAAUCUUUGAAUGACCUCUCGCGGAUAGUGUCUGGGCCAGCGCACAUGGGCUGCUGGCCGCCAAACUGCAGGGUUGGGUGCCGCUGCAGGAUCCAUAGGAGACGG